AACGUAGGAGGCGAGCGUUAUCCGGAUUUACUGGGCGUAAAGCGCGUGCAGGCGGUUCAGCAAGUUGGAUGUGAAAGCUCCUGGCUCAACUAGGAGAGGUCGUUCAAUACUACUGAACUUGAGGGCAUCAGAGGAAGGUGGAAUUCCGGGUGUAGUGGUGAAAUGCGUAGAUAUCCGGAGGAACACCAGUGGCGAAGGCGACCUUCUGGGAUGUUCCUGACGCUCAGACGCGAAGGCUAGGGUAGCAAACGGG
This 253-nucleotide ribosomal RNA is filed under the name uncultured bacterium. RNAcentral describes it as "partial 16S ribosomal RNA". It matches the Rfam family "Bacterial small subunit ribosomal RNA", at positions 524 to 776 of the family's 1533-position model. The record is from RNAcentral.